AUGCACGCUGGCGGCGGGGAGAAGACAUGCCAGUCGAGCGAACAGACGAGGAGCUUGCUCCUCUGACGUUAGCGGCGGACGGGUGAGUAACACGUGGAUAACCUACCUAUAAGACUGGGAUAACUUCGGGAAACCGGAGCUAAUACCGGAUAAUAUAUUGAACCGCAUGGUUCAAUAGUGAAAGACGGUUUUGCUGUCACUUAUAGAUGGAUCCGCGCCGCAUUAGCUAGUUGGUAAGGUAACGGCUUACCAAGGCAACGAUGCGUAGCCGACCUGAGAGGGUGAUCGGCCACACUGGAACUGAGACACGGUCCAGACUCCUACGGGAGGCAGCAGUAGGGAAUCUUCCGCAAUGGGCGAAAGCUUGACGGAGCAACGCCGCGUGAGUGAUGAAGGUCUUCGGAUCGUAAACCUCUGUUAUUAGGGAAGAACAAAUGUGUAAGUAACUAUGCACGUCUUGACGGUACCUAAUCAGAAAGCCACGGCUCCCUACGUG
RNAcentral lists this ribosomal RNA (496 nucleotides) under uncultured bacterium. RNAcentral's name for it is "partial 16S ribosomal RNA". It matches the Rfam family "Bacterial small subunit ribosomal RNA", at positions 29 to 507 of the family's 1533-position model. The record is from RNAcentral.